Molecule: ribosomal RNA, 253 nt
Filed under: uncultured bacterium
Lineage: Bacteria
Description: partial 16S ribosomal RNA
Rfam family: Bacterial small subunit ribosomal RNA
Source: RNAcentral
UACGUAGGUGGCAAGCGUUGUCCGGAAUUAUUGGGCGUAAAGCGCGCGCAGGUGGUUUCUUAAGUCUGAUGUGAAAGCCCACGGCUCAACCGUGGAGGGUCAUUGGAAACUGGGGAACUUGAGUGCAGAAGAGGAAAGUGGAAUUCCAAGUGUAGCGGUGAAAUGCGUAGAUAUUUGGGGGAACACCAGUGGCGAAGGCGACUUUCUGGUCUGUAACUGACACUGAGGCGCGAAAUCGUGGGGAGCAAACAGG